UACGGAGGAUGCAAGCGUUAUCCGGAUUUAUUAGGUUUAAAGGGUGUGUAGGCGGAAUAAUAAGUCAGCGGUGGAAUACCACAGCUUAACUGUGGAACUGCCAUUGAUACUGUUGUUCUUGAAUGUGGUUGAGGUAGGCGGAAUGUGUAAUGUAGCGGUGAAAUGCUUAGAUAUUACACAGAACACCAAUUGCGAAGGCAGCUUACUAAGCUAUGAUUGACGCUGAGGCACGAAAGCGUGGGGAGCAAACAGG
RNAcentral lists this ribosomal RNA (253 nucleotides) under uncultured bacterium. Its description in RNAcentral is "partial 16S ribosomal RNA". It matches the Rfam family "Bacterial small subunit ribosomal RNA", at positions 524 to 776 of the family's 1533-position model. The record is from RNAcentral.